This 433-nucleotide ribosomal RNA is filed under the name uncultured bacterium. RNAcentral describes it as "partial 16S ribosomal RNA". It matches the Rfam family "Bacterial small subunit ribosomal RNA", at positions 29 to 507 of the family's 1533-position model. The record is from RNAcentral.
AACGAACGCUGGCGGCAUGCCUAACACAUGCAAGUCGAACGAGACCUUCGGGUCUAGUGGCGCACGGGUGCGUAACGCGUGGGAACCUGCCCUUAGGUUCGGAAUACCUCCCCGAAAGGGGUGCUAAUACCGGAUAAUGUCUUCGGACCAAAGAUUUAUCGCCUUUGGAUGGGCCCGCGUUGGAUUAGCUAGUUGGUAGGGUAAAAGCCUACCAAGGCGACGAUCCAUAGCUGGUCUGAGAGGAUGAUCAGCCACACUGGGACUGAGACACGGCCCAGACUCCUACGGGAGGGAGCAGUGGGGAAUAUUGGACAAUGGGCGGAAGCCUGAUCCAGCAAUGCCGCGUGAGUGAUGAAGGGCUUAGGGUUGUAAAGCUCUUUUACCCGGGAUGAUAAUGACAGUACCGGGAGAAUAAGCUCCGGCUAACUCCGUG